Molecule: microRNA precursor, 126 nt
Filed under: Myotis lucifugus (little brown bat)
Lineage: Eukaryota; Metazoa; Chordata; Mammalia; Chiroptera; Vespertilionidae
Description: mir-9193 microRNA precursor family
Rfam family: mir-9193 microRNA precursor family
Source: Rfam by way of RNAcentral
CAUGCACCGGUGAGGUCCCUCAGCCUGGCCUGUGCCCUCUCACAAUCCGGGACCCCUUGGGGGGUGUUGGAGAGCCGAUUUUGGCCUGAUCCCACAGGCCAGGCUGAGGGACCCCACUGGUGCACG